RNAcentral lists this ribosomal RNA (440 nucleotides) under uncultured bacterium. Its description in RNAcentral is "partial 16S ribosomal RNA". It matches the Rfam family "Bacterial small subunit ribosomal RNA", at positions 338 to 795 of the family's 1533-position model. The record is from RNAcentral.
CCUACGGGAGGCAGCAGUAGGGAAUAUUGCUCAAUGGGGGAAACCCUGAAGCAGCAACGCCGCGUGGAGGAUGAAGGUUUUCGGAGUGUAAACUCCUUUUGUUAGAGAAGAUAAUGACGGUAUCUAACGAAUAAGCACCGGCUAACUCCGUGCCAGCAGCCGCGGUAAUACGGAGGGUGCAAGCGUUAAUCGGAAUGACUGGGCGUAAAGGGCGAGUAGGCGGGAUAGCAAGUCAGAUGUGAAAUCCUAUGGCUUAACCAUAGAACUGCAUUUGAAACUGUUAUUCUGGAGUAGGGGAGAGGUAGGUGGAAUUCUUGGUGUAGGGGUGAAAUGCGUAGAUAUCAAGAGGAAUACUCAUUGCGAAGGCGACCUGCUAGAACGUAACUGACGCUGAUGCGCGAAAGCGUGGGGAGCAAACAGGAUUAGAUACCCGUGUAGUC